This 816-nucleotide ribosomal RNA is filed under the name uncultured Chloroflexota bacterium. RNAcentral describes it as "bacterial SSU rRNA". It matches the Rfam family "Bacterial small subunit ribosomal RNA", at positions 56 to 895 of the family's 1533-position model. Lineage: Bacteria; Bacillati; Chloroflexota. The record is from RNAcentral.
UGCAGUCGAACGAACCUAAUCUUCGGAAAAGGUUAGUGGCGCACGGGUGAGUAACACGUAGGUGACCUGCCCUGGAGUGGGGGAUAACUUCUCGAAAGAGAAGCUAAUACCGCAUAUGCUCGGUCAUUCGGUUGAUCGAGUAAAGCUCCGGCGCUCCAGGAGGGGCCUGCGUCCGAUUAGCUAGUUGGUGGGGUAAUGGCCUACCAAGGCGAUGAUCGGUAGCUGGUCUGAGAGGACGAUCAGCCACACUGGCACUGACACACGGGCCAGACUCCUACGGGAGGCAGCAGUGAGGAAUAUUGGUCAAUGGGCGAAAGCCUGAACCAGCAACGCCGCGUGAGGGAUGAAGGCCUUCGGGUCGUAAACCUCUUUUCUGGGAGAAGAGACAAGGACGGUAUCCCAGGAAUAAGUCUCGGCUAACUACGUGCCAGCAGCCGCGGUAAAACGUAGGAGGCAAGCGUUAUCCGGAUUUACUGGGCGUAAAGCGCACGCAGGCGGCUGCGUAAGUCGGACGUGAAAGCUCCUGGCUCAACUGGGAGAGGUCGUUCGAAACUGCGCGGCUUGAGGUUGGAAGAGGAGAGCGGAAUUCCCGGUGUAGUGGUGGAAUGCGUAGAUAUCGGGAGGAACACCAGUGGCGAAAGCGGCUCUCUGGUCCACACCUGACGCUCAGGUGCGAAAGCGUGGGUAGCGAACGGGAUUAGAUACCCCGGUAGUCCACGCUGUAAACGAUGCGAACUAGGUGUUGGUAGUAUUAAACCUAUCAGUGCCGAAGCUAACGCGAUAAGUUCGCCGCCUGGGGACUACGGCCGCAAGGCU